CCUGUGAGGCAGAGGACAGACAGCUGCUGAUGUCUGAUGCUGGCUGACAAUAAACAGACCUCUCUGGAUGUACCUCAUCUUUUGUAGAGUAAUUCUAACAUUGCCCUUCCUGUAACAUGAUGAUCCUGCUGUCCUGGAUGUAUAUGAUGAGCCUACACAGAAUCUCAGAACAGCAGUGGCAAUAAGAGGAGACCCAUUUGGUGAGAGCAGCACUGCAGACUUUC
Carassius gibelio (silver crucian carp) is the source of this 224-nucleotide long non-coding RNA. RefSeq lists it as uncharacterized. The record is from RefSeq and is a predicted model, not a curated record. NCBI's taxonomy places the organism in Eukaryota, Metazoa, Chordata, Actinopteri, Cypriniformes, Cyprinidae. The transcript is spliced from 3 exons.